This is a long non-coding RNA of Heterocephalus glaber (naked mole-rat), 528 nucleotides long. NCBI's taxonomy places the organism in Eukaryota, Metazoa, Chordata, Mammalia, Rodentia, Bathyergidae. The record is from Ensembl.
GUCCUGCGUUUGAGUGUGGUCUGCUGCACUACCCGGUUGUCUGGACUAAGUUGCUGUUAACCCUGUAGAGGACUGCCUGGGCAAGAUGGCUCUCCAAGCCCAGCUUGGCUGCUUGCCUCUUUCUAUGAUGAAGGCCUACCAUGGGCAGAGGCAGCAGUAAGCGUAUCACUGGGGAAUGGGGCCAGAGAGCCAUUUGGCCAGGAUCUCCAAUUUAGGCCUCGAAAUUAUCUCCAAAUAAGGGUUUGCAUUGUGUCAGAUCCACUCUCUGAUUGAUCAAAGACUCUCCUUUGAUAUCUUUAAACUUGUGCCCUAUGAUGAGACCACUGUGCCUGCGGAACACUGUAAAUUAUUAUUAUUAUUAUUUUGGUACCGGGAAUUGAACUCAGGGCCUCAUGCUUGCCAGGCAGGCACUGCACCACUGUGUACAUUAUUGUAUUUUAAUAAAUCUUAUAAUAAUCCUGUGAGCAGCACAAUAAUGUACAUUUUUAGUAUCAGAAGCAUUAAAUCGUUAAAACAUUAAAAAUUGUC